This 446-nucleotide ribosomal RNA is filed under the name uncultured bacterium. RNAcentral describes it as "partial 16S ribosomal RNA". It matches the Rfam family "Bacterial small subunit ribosomal RNA", at positions 338 to 795 of the family's 1533-position model. The record is from RNAcentral.
CCUACGGGUGACAGCAGUCGAGAAUCAUUCACAAUGGGGGAAACCCUGAUGGUGCGACGCCGCGUGGGGGAAUGAAGGUCUUCGGAUUGUAAACCCCUGUCAUGUGGGAGCAAAUUAAAAAGAUAGUACCACAAGAGGAAGAGACGGCUAACUCUGUGCCAGCCGCCGCGGUAAUACAGAGGUCUCAAGCGUUGUUCGGAAUCACUGGGCGUAAGGCGUGCGUAGGCUGUUUCGUAAGUCGUGUGUGAAAGGCGCGGGCUCAACCCGCGGACGGCACAUGAUACUGCGAGACUAGAGUAAUGGAGGGGGAACCGGAAUUCUCGGUGUAGCAGUGAAAUGCGUAGAUAUCGAGAGGAACACUCGUGGCGAGGGCGGGUUCCUGGACAUUAACUGACGCUGAGGCACGAAGGCCAGGGGAGCGAAAGGGAUUAGAUACCCUUGUAGUC